CUUCAUCGCAAACGGAGGCAAUUUCAUUCUCAAAUUUUGUAAUAAUCAAUUUUCGAGAGGGUUUACGUUUUCAUCUUAAAUAGAGUUUUUCAAAAUUUCAUUAAGACAUUUCUAUAAAGUAUUCGAUUGUUCUGUCAUUUCAUUGGGCUGCUGGAGUGGUCGUACAGAAGUAGCCAAAUAUUAUCGAGAUGGAGCUAAUGUGAACGUUGAAGAUUGAGACAAAAAUAAAACACUUCAAUUGGCUACUAAGAAGGGUCACUCAGAUGUAGUCAAAUUACUAACCGAAAAAGGUGCCAAUGCUCAACAUACAGACGGACAGCACUCUCAUCCUCAAUAAUGAUCCGAAUGAAAUCACAAUAGUUGAUUUUCAAUGGCAUUGAACAAAAAUAAAUAUAAAUGUCCACAUAGCAUAGGCCUGUCAAAUCGCCCGGAUAAAUCCUGAUUUCGCCCGGAUUUUACAUACAAUAACAAAAAUAAAAUAUUCAAUUCACCGUUGAAAUAGCACUGACUAAACGUUCAAGUCAUUCACCUUGAGUGUAGACAAUAUUUUUGUGUACUAACUGUUAAAAAACUCAAUACCAGAUUUGGUAAAACUUUUGGAAAUCAAUGUAGUUGGCGAAAGUCAUCAAAAUUAACCAUUCUGAAUAAAAGUUUGGUCUUUGUUUGGCAAUCGAA
Contarinia nasturtii (swede midge) is the source of this 675-nucleotide long non-coding RNA. RefSeq lists it as uncharacterized. The record is from RefSeq and is a predicted model, not a curated record. Lineage: Eukaryota; Metazoa; Arthropoda; Insecta; Diptera; Cecidomyiidae. The transcript has 3 exons.